UACGAAGGGUGCAAGCGUUAAUCGGAAUUACUGGGCGUAAAGCGCGCGUAGGUGGUUCAGCAAGUUGGAUGUGAAAGCCCUGGGCUCAACCUGGGAACUGCAUCCAAAACUACUGAGCUAGAGUACGGUACGGACGGUAGUAGGGGGAAUUUCCGGUAAGUUUCCGGUACGGUCGGGUUAGGAAACUAGGUCGGUAAAAGUAGUACGUUAAGGG
This 214-nucleotide ribosomal RNA is filed under the name uncultured bacterium. RNAcentral's name for it is "partial 16S ribosomal RNA". It matches the Rfam family "Bacterial small subunit ribosomal RNA", at positions 524 to 715 of the family's 1533-position model. The record is from RNAcentral.